ACGGAGGGUGCAAGCGUUAAUCGGAAUUACUGGGCGUAAAGCGCACGUAGGUGGUUUUGUAAGCUGGAUGUGAAAGCCCCGGGCUUAACCUGGGAACUGCAUCCAGAACUGUAAGACUUGAGUAGAGUAGAGGGUGGUGGAAUUUCCGGUGUAGCGGUGAAAUGCGUAGAGAUCGGAAGGAACAUCAGUGGCGAAGGCGACCACCUGGACUCAUACUGACACUGAGGAGCGAAAGCGUGGGGAGCAAACAGG
RNAcentral lists this ribosomal RNA (252 nucleotides) under uncultured bacterium. RNAcentral's name for it is "partial 16S ribosomal RNA". It matches the Rfam family "Bacterial small subunit ribosomal RNA", at positions 525 to 776 of the family's 1533-position model. The record is from RNAcentral.